Sinocyclocheilus anshuiensis is the source of this 233-nucleotide long non-coding RNA. RefSeq lists it as uncharacterized. The transcript is spliced from 3 exons. Lineage: Eukaryota; Metazoa; Chordata; Actinopteri; Cypriniformes; Cyprinidae. The record is from RefSeq and is a predicted model, not a curated record.
UGUGGAAACCCUGGAAGAUCUGAAAUAUGUCCAGGAGCCAGAUCUUAUUAACGUCCUGAGGCCAUUUGAAGCUAGAAAAUUGAUUGCACAGAUUAAAGCUUUACCUGAGAAAGAUGCUAGUGAGAUUCCUGAUCAGCCUACCAGAGCUCAGCCGAAUGUAACGCCAUGCAGAGAGCAUUCAUCUACAAAUGCCUUUUCAAGAUAAAUCCGGACAGGGGGACCAAGGUGGAGAA